Molecule: transfer-messenger RNA, 377 nt
Filed under: Sulfurimonadaceae bacterium
Lineage: Bacteria; Pseudomonadati; Campylobacterota; Epsilonproteobacteria; Campylobacterales; Sulfurimonadaceae
Rfam family: transfer-messenger RNA
About the family: Bacterial tmRNA, also known as 10Sa RNA or SsrA, is named for its dual tRNA and mRNA-like properties.
Source: RNAcentral
GGGGACGACAUGGCUUCGACAGGAUCAGGUCGCUUUUAAUUGCAUGCCGGACUGAGCAUUUCCGUUACGCGGCUCAAACUUGCUUAAACGCAAACAACACAAAUUAUCGCCCAGCUUUAGCAGUAGCUUAAGUUUUAACCCCUCCUAACGAGGCGGGCUGCUUCACCUACGGACUCUGGAUAAGUAGGACUCGAAGUAUCACCCUUUAUGCAGAUAUAUUUUAGGCUUGUCUCGUCCUAAAAUGAACUUUGAGGCUCGUCUUGUGUAACUUUGCAAGUAGUGUGAAACAAGAUUAAACUCAAACAACUUCUCUAAGCAUGUAGACGUUAGGAGUAACUUGGUUUUGGACUGCGGUUCGAUACCGCACGUCUCCACCA